RNAcentral lists this ribosomal RNA (755 nucleotides) under Mortierella sp. BESC196g. RNAcentral describes it as "eukaryotic LSU rRNA". It matches the Rfam family "Eukaryotic large subunit ribosomal RNA", at positions 1 to 612 of the family's 3401-position model. Lineage: Eukaryota; Fungi; Mortierellomycota; Mortierellomycetes; Mortierellales; Mortierellaceae. The record is from RNAcentral.
AUCUCAAAUCAAGUAAGACUACCCGCUGAACUUAAGCAUAUCAAUAAGCGGAGGAAAAGAAACUAACAAGGAUUCCCCUAGUAACGGCGAGUGAAGCGGGAUGAGCUCAAAUUUAAAAUCUGGCUGGUUUACUAGUCCGAAUUGUAGUUUAAAGAAGCGUUUUCGGUGGCAGCCUGGGUAUAAAUCCUUUGGAACAGGGUAUCAUAGAGGGUGAGAAUCCCGUCUUUGACUCAGUGCAUGCUACUAUGUGAUACGUUUUCAAAGAGUCGAGUUGUUUGGGAAUGCAGCUCAAAAUGGGUGGUAAAUUUCAUCUAAGGCUAAAUAUUGGCGAGAGACCGAUAGCGAACAAGUACCGUGAGGGAAAGAUGAAAAGAACUUUGAAAAGAGAGUUAAACAGUGCGUGAAAUUGUUGAAAGGGAAACGCUUGACACCAGUCAUGCGAGCGGAAAAUCAGUCUUUUGCAGUGGGGAGUUGUGUGGGUUCGGACCGCAAGGCCGGCCUGUGCUGCAUCUCUGCUGUAAGUGAUGCACUUUUUCGUUUGCAGGCCAACAUCAGUUUCUUCUGCUGGACAAAACUCUUGAGAAGGUAGCAGCUUUGGCUGUGUUAUAGCUCUUGAGCGAUACAGUGGAGGGGACUGAGGUUUUCGCAGCGCGUGCUCUCGGGCAAGGCUGAUUGGGUGCUAUGGGAUCGUUCGGUGUACAAUGCAUGCAUUUUGCGCCGUGUCUUUUCUAUACUCGCUCAACUCGGCUNUCCGC